RNAcentral lists this ribosomal RNA (456 nucleotides) under Lancefieldella rimae. RNAcentral's name for it is "bacterial SSU rRNA". It matches the Rfam family "Bacterial small subunit ribosomal RNA", at positions 28 to 493 of the family's 1533-position model. The record is from RNAcentral. Lineage: Bacteria; Bacillati; Actinomycetota; Coriobacteriia; Coriobacteriales; Atopobiaceae.
GAUGAGCGCUGGCGGCGCGCCUAACACAUGCAAGUCGAACGGUUAAAGCACCUUUUAGGUGUGUAUAAAGUGGCGAACGGCUGAGUAACACGUGGGCAACCUGCCCUCCUCUUGGGGAUAGCCUCGGGAAACCGAGGAUAAUACCCGAUACUUCAAUGUGGCCGCAUGACGACAUUGAGAAAGCUUUUGCGGAGAAGGAUGGGCCCGCGGCCUGUUAGCUUGUUGGUGGGGUAGAGGCCUACCAAGGCAAUGAUGGGUAGCUGGGUUGAGAGACCGACCAGCCAGAUUGGGACUGAGACACGGCCCAGACUCCUACGGGAGGCAGCAGUGGGGAAUCUUGCACAAUGGGCGAAAGCCUGAUGCAGCGACGCCGCGUGCGGGACGAAGGCCUUUCGGGUUGUAAACCGCUUUUCAGCAGGGACGAGGCGAAAGUGACGGUACCUGCAGAAGAAGCCC